RNAcentral lists this ribosomal RNA (253 nucleotides) under uncultured bacterium. RNAcentral describes it as "partial 16S ribosomal RNA". It matches the Rfam family "Bacterial small subunit ribosomal RNA", at positions 524 to 776 of the family's 1533-position model. The record is from RNAcentral.
CACGUAGGGCGCAAGCGUUGUCCGGAAUUAUUGGGCGUAAAGAGCUCGUAGGCGGUCUGUUGCGUCCGCUGUGAAAACUCGGGGCUUAACCCCGAGCCUGCAGUGGAUACGGGCAGACUAGAGGUAGGUAGGGGAGAAUAGAAUUCCCGGUGUAGCGGUGAAAUGCGCAGAUAUCGGGAGGAACACCGGUGGCGAAGGCGGUUCUCUGGGCCUUACCUGACGCUGAGGAGCGAAAGCGUGGGGAGCGAACAGG